GCCGGAGUGGCGAAAUGGUAGACGCAAUUGACUCAAAAUCAAUCGCAGGCAACUGUGUGUCGGUUCGAGUCCGACCUCCGGCA
This 83-nucleotide transfer RNA is filed under the name bacterium. RNAcentral's name for it is "tRNA-Leu". It matches the Rfam family "tRNA". Rfam says of the family: Transfer RNA (tRNA) molecules are approximately 80 nucleotides in length. RNAcentral also lists the same sequence under 6 other names. The record is from RNAcentral.